GAAAAUAGCAUCCUACUAGCUUCAACUGCCAUGUCCACUUUUUCGCCUAUAAAAAGGCAUCAAACCAAAGCAAAGGGGGAGGACACAAAAAGAAGAAGAGAGACUCUGCAGAAAUUAAGAGAAAAAUUGAGAGAAAAGAUAGCAACGAAGGGGAGUGACAAUUAAACCUUGCAGAAAUUGAAGCUCACAGAGAAGAACGAAAAAAAAAAAAAAGAGGAGACACCGCAGAAAUCAAAAGAGAAAUUGAGAGACAAAAAGAACGAUGCAGAAUGACGGUGAGGAACGAACCACAAAGAAGAACAAAGAAAGCAAGAAAACGAAAGGCACAAGGGGUGCACACGACAAAGAACAGCAAAGUACCCAAAGGCAAGGAGCAACUGAUGCCUUGCGCAGUUUUAGCUCAUGCAGAUGGAGACUUUAAGCUGUUGGAGCGGUUGAUGCCUUGUGCAGUUUUAGCUCGUGCGGGCGAGGACUUUGGGUCAUUGGAGCAUUUAAAUUUGAUUUGGCUUCAUGCAAUUUGAAAUUUGAUACGCCUUCGUGCCAGUUGACAUAUCUUUGUGCCAUUUGAGAUUUUGUUGAGGCUUCAUACCAUUUGAUAUUUGACUUUUUCUUCGGCUUCGUGCCAUUGGGUUUUGUUGCGGCUUUGUGCCAUCAAAAUUUAAUACGGCUUCGAGCCAUUGAAUCGGCUUUGAGCCAUUUGAGUCAGCUUGGUCCCAUUUAAAGUGGUUUUGUGCCGUUUAAGCGUAAAGUAAAAUUAAAGGGUUUAUUUCUGAUAAACCCACUAAUAUUUUGGCAUUUGACUUUGGCUUGGUAUCA
Long non-coding RNA from Malus domestica (apple), 816 nucleotides. RefSeq lists it as uncharacterized. NCBI's taxonomy places the organism in Eukaryota, Viridiplantae, Streptophyta, Magnoliopsida, Rosales, Rosaceae. The record is from RefSeq and is a predicted model, not a curated record.